UUUUUUACAUAUUAUAUUUGUAGCCAAGUUAAAUUUUCAGGCUGCUGCCGGUACCGACAACAGGCCGGCGACGUUCCAUCAAAUUUGAAGCGUUUAGUUCAGUCGCUAAGUUGCCGUUGGAGUUGGACUGCUACAAGUCUAUAACAGAGCAAGAAGAGCAGAAACUGAAAGCCAGUAUACGAAGAUGGGGACCCGGGAGGUGUACGAGCAGAAAUUAAGGACCGGGAAUCUGCAUCACGAUCCUACCAUCAACCCUGGCCUCGGUUCCCCUCGCUGCCCUCGCUGCCUCUCUCUCUUAAUCCCUAAUUCUAUAUGUUUUUCUUCUUUAAUUUCCAUCUCUCUCUCCCCCUGCGCAUCAUGAUUUUAAUUCUCUGAUUUUUUCCUUCUAUUUUUCCAGGGAAAGGGAGAAUGGGCUAUUACUUCUGUUUUACAUGAUGCCACUGCCGUGGCUGGGUCUGGUAUUGCUGGAAUGCUUAGCGCUGUUCAUGGUUUUAAUAUAGGGAUUCCAUUCCUUCAAAAUCGUCUCAAGGGGCCAAAAUGGAUGCCUUUUGUAGUUGGGCUUCCUCCCCUGUUAGUGGUUUCAAGUGUAAGUGCUGCAUUUGGAGGUAAGAGUUGAGUCUCUCGAUUAUUCUGAUUAAAGUAGUGCAAUGUCAUUCUUGGCAUGCAAUGUAUGUAUGACAGGGUUUUAUCUUGAUUUCUCUCUUGUGUGAUUAAAAAUAGUACGAUGCCAUUCUUGGCAUGACAGGUUUUAUCUUGAUUUUACAAGUAGCUUUUUGUCUUGUUGCUCAUUCUAAGCUUUGGAAACCUUGUUUAAAGGUGCUACCAACUAUGGCCUCUUUUUUAUUCAGGGAGAGAAUUGAAGUCCAUGAUAUGCACUACGACCUAAAUAUGUUUUGGAACUAUUUCAAGCAUUUUCAACUUAAAUUUUCUUUUUUCCAUCCAUCUUUGGGUUGGUAUGGUUUAUUGUGUAGGGUGAGUGAGCCUGUACUGUUUAUGAUUCUUAGGUCGCAAAAAGCACCCCAUAUCAUGUGGUCAUUGAAAAAAAAGUAAUAUGGUGGAUCAGUGUUAUUAAGGUGCCAAAAGGCAUUAGGCAAGGCGAGCGCCUUUCUUCGUCUGGCUCAAGGUGCGAGGCGAGGCGAUAUGUUGCCACUUGAAAAUAACAUGCAUGGCUUUUUUCUUUUUAAAGACUAAAUCCUAAUACAUAUUUCAUUUUGAAGCAGCUGAUUGGAGAGCUAAUGUGUAUAUAUAUAUUACUAAUUAGGAAAAAAAUAAUAUAAUAUCUACAUAAUUGACUUCCAAUAUUUAAGUAUAUUCCAAUAUUGAAAAAUAUUACAUAUUUACAUAUUCAACUUAACUAAUUAGGAAUUAUAUCUUUAUAAUUAUGCUAACUAAUUAAUUAAUUAAAAAAGAAUUAAUAUAAUAUCUAUACAUAUAUGUAUAUCACUGUAUAUACAAUGUAUUACACAUAUUAUAUGAUAUAUAUAAGUAUGGUGCCUUACUUUAAAGCCUCUCGCUUAAGGCGAUAGGGGACCUGUCACCUUUCGCCUUGAUAAUAUUGUAGUGAUGUAGUUCAGCAAUUUUGAAAAAGUAAUAUUUAUUUCUUUCUGGAUUAGAUUUAGAAUGUGAUUUUGGGAACUAUUGCUGUGUUGUAUUUCUCCAAGUUCCUGGAAGAAAGCUAAUAUAUGUAUCCGUAUUUGUAAUAUGACCUUAACUUACUAUAUCCUUGCAAAAUGACCUUGCCUUUUAGAGUUUCAAUGAUUUUCUCACUGCUAAAUGUUAGACUUCAGCCGUUAGUUUGGUAGUGAAUGAGGAAAUUUGACAUUCUUUGGUGAUAUAGUUUUCCUUAGUCUUUUCUCCCCUCAUUCUGAGAGUACAGAGCUGGACAUAGUUCUUGCUUCUUAGGGAACACAAGACUUUUAUGAUAUCUUGGAUAGGAGGUGGGAUGUGAGGGCCUUUUUGAAGUGAGGUACCAUAGUCAAUAUAUAUAUAGAUGUAAAUUGGCAAUUGUCUGCUGCUUGAAGGAGAUGGAGAGAGAUUACGAGUUUAUCCUUUGCCGUUUAAAAGCAUUAGAAAAAAAAACCUAUUGUUGCUUCAGUUGGGUGUUGCCUGUGGUGCCUCCCUUCACGCCUAGUGCCUCAGUGGUCUGAGGCAGCGCCUCUAUGCAUAGAGCCUUACCUUAGUCAACCGAGGUGAGCCUGGUUUUAAAUAAUGGCCGUUAGGUAUGUGUGCAAAUGUGCACUAACGGAAUGACUAAUUUUUCUCAUGGUUUAUUUAUUUUCUAAUUCAUUUCAAUUCAGUUUCUAUAUUGUGUGCAAAUGUGCACUUAUAGGGCGUUAUAGCAGUAUUAUUGGUAUGUGAGAGUGGUAGCAGCUGUGGGUCUCAACUUCCAAACUAUUGACACCAUACUGGUCUACUAGUAUCAAUUUUGUCCUAUCCUCUCCAAGCCCGGUGAGUCAAACGCCUUGUGAAUCUGGAUGGCCUGUUAGCAGACUUCACCCUUCAGUGAUUCCCGACAAAGGUGGGCACUGAUCCUCAGACGGCAAUGUAUGUAGGCCGGGCUUCCUCUACCCUGGGCGAGGCCGGACUUCCUCUACCUUGAGCGGGGCCGGACUCAAGAGGAGAAUAAUGGCCCAAAGGCCAUCAAACCCUCCUUAGGCUUACCAACUCAGCAUCUCGGGUCUCGACCCAGACACGCCGGGCUGGAUGGGUUACCCGUGAGCCCAGAUUCAGCAGGAAGAAGUCCAGCCUGGUGAUGUGAUGUGAAGAAGUAGGGGAGCAGGCCCAGUCACCUCACAGUCCUGCCCGCAUGCGCGCCGGGAAAAAUUAAAUGAAUGCCUGGCAUGGAGAGGAACCUUGACACAUCCGUACGUACGGAGCUGAGUGACAGAGACUAGCAUUGUAAGUAGAUAUACAUCACGAGCAGAGCAAAAGGGGGUCCUUCCUUCUUUCUUCUUGUUCGGCUCCAUAUUUUUUACUAUUAUUCUUUUCUGCAACUCUUGUCUAUCCAUACUACACUAGUUCAUGAGCCACUUGAACGUCGUAGGGUCUCCACCAGGGCAUUCCGGUAGAUCCCUGACCAUCUUUCCUUAUUUUGCAGUCCUUUCAUCAAAUCGAAUAUUGAGAGACCCAUAUGAUGGACCCACAUAAUGGACCAAGAAGAAAACCAGAUCUAUCAUGGAGUAAGAGGAAAAGAAAGAUUUAUCAAAUGGCGCUGCUUGUGGAAACAAAAGAGAUUUUUACUAUCUCUAAAGUUCAUAAAUUCACCCAUUGAAAUCCACGUGAAGGUAUGAAAGUUUAUACAAAAAGGAAACAGAGCUUUACAAUAACGUAGUUGAAAAGAAAGAUUAAUUAUGUUCAAGAAUAUUUUGAUAGUAUUUCAGAUAAUUUAUUUUAAUAUUUAUUGAUUUUUAUUACUACU
Manihot esculenta (cassava) is the source of this 3418-nucleotide long non-coding RNA. RefSeq lists it as uncharacterized. The record is from RefSeq and is a predicted model, not a curated record. Lineage: Eukaryota; Viridiplantae; Streptophyta; Magnoliopsida; Malpighiales; Euphorbiaceae. The transcript has 5 exons.